AUAGCUUUUAAGUUAAUAAUUGUCUGUGUAAUUUUGCAUCUGUUGCUCUAUUGGAGUAAUAGUUUAUAUCAUAUUUUUUAUCCCCCUUUUCUAGUACUGUGCCUACCACCUAAGUCUGUUGCAUAAUUACUCACCAGAUGGGUGACUGAAGACAGUCCUGGGCUUGGAGGGGCCUGGGAUGGCUAAAAGGGAUGUGGUCAUUGUCAUGGAGCUAUCCAAGGUAGUCAAGGUUAAGAAUUCUGUGCCAAAGUAAAGCGAUGCUUAAUAAUUCCCUUUUAUUAGCAAGAUCUGAAAUUAUAUCUUCAGAACUGCAGUAUUUUGCCAGGUUAGAAGCAGUGAGGUACCUGAGAAUCUUACUUCACUUUAGUCUGCCAGCUCCUACUACUGGCUGGUGUCUGGCGACAGAGAGUUCUGUAUGCUGUUUCAGAAACAUAAUCUGUCUCUUCGCAUUUGAAUGGUACUGCGUGUGUCUUGUCAUCAGAUUUCAGAGCACCAGGAAUAAGGUGGGGCCUGAUAAGGAGGUUUUUGAGGAAAGUCUGUAGGAAAACCCUAGAAUUAUCCUUUCUGUUUCCCCAGCUCCAAUACUGUUGGCACUAGUGGCAGGAGAAGCUGCUGGUAUCAUGGAAAACAUAAGUGACGAUGUGAUUGUUGGCCGAUGCCUGGCCAUUCUCAAAGGGAUUUUUGGUAGCAGUGCAGUACCUCAGGUAAGUAGGUAGGUGGGGCAAGGAGGGAUCUAGGGUUCAAACUCAACCAGGGUUUAAUGUAUUUGCAGUAUGUUCUUGGUCAGGACAGUUUAAGCUAGAAUUGAGGUCUGUGCUUUUACAUGAAUAAUUAAUGUUUGGAGUUCAUGGCCUAAGCGUGGGGUUCAGAAAAGCCCCCCAGAACAAGAGCUGGGGAGUCUGAAGGCUGUUAGCUGCAUUUCUCCUCUGGCUUUAGAGUCACACCAUAUCCCUGACAUUUUAGACAAAAUGGCCAAACUCCAGUGAGUAUCUCCGGGAAGUUUUCAGAGAACCUCUUGGUACUUUUUCGUGUUCUUUGAAAUACUUUAACCCUUUAGGAUUCCUUUGAAGGGAGGCAUAUUGUGAAUUUAUAAAAGAGAAUAAAGGCCAAGCCCUGUGUAGAUCUCUGGAUUCAUAGACAGGAAGGCAACAUGGAGGGGCAUCCUUCCUGUCUGAAGUCCUUUUGUCCAUGUGUGUUUUAAAGCAGGCAUUCAUCACUUGAUCACUGGCUCUCACAUGUUGCCCCUCUUUCUCUUCACUUGCAUCUCCACCCACCAUUGCUUUUCUACCUUUCAAGGAUUGAUUUGUGCUUGGUGUCUCGUAAUGACUUUUGCUCCUGGUUUUUCUUUUAGCCCAAAGAAACUGUGGUGUCUCGUUGGCGUGCUGAUCCCUGGGCCCGGGGCUCUUAUUCCUAUGUUGCUGCAGGAUCAUCUGGAAAUGACUAUGAUUUAAUGGCUCAGCCAAUCACUCCUGGCCCCUCGAUUCCAGGUGCCCCACAGGUGAGAAGCUGGCAAACUAUCUGGGCUUAUUUGGGAAGAGGCCAGGAUCUCAUGAUGUCCCUGAUUUUUUUUUUUUUCAGAUUUUAGUCAUUCCAUCUUCGGACCCUUUCAGAUAACCAAGAGCAGAGUUAAAAGGAUGGGCAGCAUUUCUGAUUUCUCAUAAUUUGGUUUUGUAAAUCUAGGCAGUCUACAUUCAGAAUGGAGGAGUCCAGAGUAUAAGUCAAAUAACAUUUUUCCUUAUUCAGGUUUUCUCCCUAAAAAACAAAACCAUUUUUAAUUGCACUUCCAUUUUGUAAUGGCUCAUAGGAUUGCUGUAAGGUCUCAAUUACUAGGGGCUUCCAGGGCAUUUCUGAGAAAUAACUCUGGGUCCUUGUCUAGACCCUUAUGCCAGACCCCACUCCAAAGAGUGGUAAGAAUUCCUUAGUGUCAUAGCCCAGACCUGCUCUGAGCUGCGAGGCUUAAGUGUCCCUGAUCACCAAAUGUCCUGUGCUUCAGGGUAGCGAGGCUCCCUCCCAGAAGUAGUUAUACAUGAGGGAAGGACGCUUCACAACUGGGUAUCUAAACUGAUGAGAACACAUGUUAAGCAUCACUUUAGGACUGGGGCUAGGUAGAGUUUUAUUGUCUCAUUUCUACUUGUCAAUUCUGGGAAAGUGCCUACUGAUAAGGGAGACUCUUCGACAGAAUGAUGAAUAGUAACUGGGGGGGUCAGCCUUUAAAAAGGUCAACAGCAAUUUAAGUACUUAGCAAUUUAAGUACAAGAAUAAAGGUGUAUGUGCAGCCUGCCAAUUUUCUCUUUUUCCCCUAAAAUAGCCGAUUCCACGACUCUUCUUUGCGGGAGAACAUACGAUCCGUAACUACCCAGCCACAGUGCAUGGUGCUCUGCUGAGUGGGCUGCGAGAAGCAGGAAGAAUUGCAGACCAGUUUUUGGGGGCCAUGUAUACGCUGCCUCGCCAGGCCACACCAGGUGUUCCUGCACAGCAGUCCCCAAGCAUGUGAGACAGAUACAUUCUAAGGGAAGAGGCCCAUAUGCCUGUUUCUGCCAUGUAAGGAAGGCUCUUCUAGCAAUACUAGAUCCCACUGAGAAAAUCCACCCUGGCAUCUGGGCUCCUGAUCAGCUGAUGGAGCUCCUGAUUGACAAAGGAGCUUGCCUCCUUUGAAUGACCUAGAGCACAGGGAGGAACUUGUCCAUUAGUUUGGAAUUGUGUUCUUCAUAAAGACUGAGGCAAGCAAGUGCUGUGAAAUAACAUCUUAGUCCCUUGGUGUGUGGGUUUUUUUUUUUUUUUAUAUUUUGAGAAUAAAACUUCAUAU
Molecule: small RNA, 2806 nt
Filed under: Pan troglodytes (chimpanzee)
Lineage: Eukaryota; Metazoa; Chordata; Mammalia; Primates; Hominidae
Description: retained intron
Source: RNAcentral